RNAcentral lists this ribosomal RNA (527 nucleotides) under uncultured bacterium. RNAcentral describes it as "bacterial SSU rRNA". It matches the Rfam family "Bacterial small subunit ribosomal RNA", at positions 777 to 1302 of the family's 1533-position model. The record is from RNAcentral.
AAUAGAUACCCAGGUAGUCCACGCCGUAAACGAUGAGUGCUAAGUGUUAGAGGGUUUCCGCCCUCUAGUGCUGCAGCUAACGCAUUAAGCACUCCGCCUGGGGAGUACGGCCGCAAGGCUGAAACUCAAAGGAAUUGACGGGGGCCCGCACAAGCGGUGGAGCAUGUGGUUUAAUUCGAAGCAACGCGAAGAACCUUACCAGGUCUUGACAUCCUCUGCCAACCCUAGAGAUAGGGCGUUCCCCUUCGGGGGACAGAGUGACAGGUGGUGCAUGGUUGUCGUCAGCUCGUGUCGUGAGAUGUUGGGUUAAGUCCCGCAACGAGCGCAACCCUUGAUCUUAGUUGCCAGCAUUCAGUUGGGCACUCUAAGGUGACUGCCGGUGACAAACCGGAGGAAGGUGGGGAUGACGUCAAAUCAUCAUGCCCCUUAUGACCUGGGCUACACACGUGCUACAAUGGAUGGUACAAAGAGCUGCGAACCCGCGAGGGUAAGCGAAUCUCAUAAAGCCAUUCUCAGUUCGGAUUGUA